This is a non-coding RNA of Vicia faba (fava bean), 381 nucleotides long. The record is from the annotation of a GenBank genome assembly. NCBI's taxonomy places the organism in Eukaryota, Viridiplantae, Streptophyta, Magnoliopsida, Fabales, Fabaceae.
AUGGUUAUAUCCAGCGGGAAUUCAACAAGUGUACGGUGGGUCCGACCAAAAAAAUAUUCGAGCAACUCAUGGAUGAUAACUCCGAAAAGAGUGUCGUCCUUGAUAAAGUCAGAGUGUCUUGCAGAUACACCCCCUCCUCUCCAUAAAUUUCCAACCAAAUAUACGUCAUCAUUUCAACCCAUUUCAAAUUCUAAUCAACCGAUAAGAUCAAAGAUAAAAUUUUCAAAGAACCUUAUUGAUCUACCUUCUAAAGGAUCAUUCUUUACAUGUUCCAAUGGCGGACAUGGUAGUGGUUUAGUGGGAAUAAAUUUGGACACACUUUUUUGCACUCAGACUUUGCUAUUUUCUUGUGCUUCUGCGUCAGUUUCAACCCAUACCUAA